AGAGUUUGAUCAUGGCUCAGAGCGAACGUUAGCGGCACGCCUAACACAUGCAAGUCGCACGAGAGUGGAGCAAUCCAUGAAAGUGGCGCACGGGUGCGUAACACGUAGAUAAUCUGCCCUUUGGCGGGGGAUAACGUUCCGAAAGGAGCGCUAAUACCGCAUACAGCAGUCUCCGGUUCGCCGGAGAUUGGCAAAGGCUGGGCCCAGCAAUGGCCAGUCGCCGAAGGAGGAGUCUGCGGCCCAUCAGCUAGUUGGUAAGGUAACGGCUUACCAAGGCAGAGACGGGUAGCUGGUCUGAGAGGAUGAUCAGCCACACUGGUACUGGAACACGGACCAGACUCCUACGGGAGGCAGCAGUGGGGAAUCUUGGUCAAUGGGCGCAAGCCUGAACCAGCGAUGCCGCGUGACGGAUGAAGGCCUUCUGGGUUGUAAACGUCUUUUGACCGGGAAGAAAAAGCCCUUGCGAGGGAAAUCGACGGUACCGGUUGAAUAAGCACCGGCUAACUCCGUGCCAGCAGCCGCGGUAA
RNAcentral lists this ribosomal RNA (527 nucleotides) under uncultured Sorangiineae bacterium. RNAcentral's name for it is "bacterial SSU rRNA". It matches the Rfam family "Bacterial small subunit ribosomal RNA", at positions 8 to 523 of the family's 1533-position model. Lineage: Bacteria; Pseudomonadati; Myxococcota; Myxococcia; Myxococcales. The record is from RNAcentral.